This 466-nucleotide ribosomal RNA is filed under the name uncultured bacterium. RNAcentral's name for it is "partial 16S ribosomal RNA". It matches the Rfam family "Bacterial small subunit ribosomal RNA", at positions 28 to 507 of the family's 1533-position model. The record is from RNAcentral.
GAUGAACGCUGGCGGCGUGCUUAACACAUGCAAGUCGAACGAUGAAGCCCAGCUUGCUGGGUGUAUUAGUGGCGAACGGGUGAGUAACACGUGAGUAACCUGCCCUUAACUCUGGGAUAAGCCUGGGAAACUGGGUCUAAUACCGGAUAGGAGCGUCCACCGCAUGGUGGGUGUUGGAAAGAUUUAUCGGUUUUGGAUGGACUCGCGGCCUAUCAGCUUGUUGGUGAGGUAAUGGCUCACCAAGGCGACGACGGGUAGCCGGCCUGAGAGGGUGACCGGCCACACUGGGACUGAGACACGGCCCAGACUCCUACGGGAGGCAGCAGUGGGGAAUAUUGCACAAUGGGCGCAAGCCUGAUGCAGCGACGCCGCGUGAGGGAUGACGGCCUUCGGGUUGUAAACCUCUUUCAGUAGGGAAGAAGCGAAAGUGACGGUACCUGCAGAAGAAGCACCGGCUAACUACGUG